This 208-nucleotide unclassified non-coding RNA is filed under the name soil metagenome. Its description in RNAcentral is "partial contains 5.8S ribosomal RNA, internal transcribed spacer 2, and large subunit ribosomal RNA". The record is from RNAcentral.
AACCAUUCUCACCUGCGGCUAGACCUGCGGAAGGAUCAUUACCGAGUUUACAACUCCCAAACCCCUGUGAACAUACCUAUACGUUGCCUCGGCGGAUCAGCCCGCGCCCUGUAAAAAGGGACGGCCCGCCCGAGGACCCUAAACUCUGUUUUUAGUGGAACUUCUGAGUAAAACAAACAAAUAAAUCAAAACUUUUAGCAAUGGAUCU